GUCUACAGCCAUGCCACUCUGAGCAAGCAUGAUCCCCUCUGAUCUUGGAAGCUAAGCAGGGUCGGGCCUGGUUAGUACUUGGGCAGGAGACCACUUAGGAAGACCAAGUGCUGUAGAUG
RNAcentral lists this ribosomal RNA (119 nucleotides) under Pteropus alecto (black flying fox). Lineage: Eukaryota; Metazoa; Chordata; Mammalia; Chiroptera; Pteropodidae. The record is from RNAcentral.